This 803-nucleotide ribosomal RNA is filed under the name uncultured archaeon. RNAcentral describes it as "bacterial SSU rRNA". It matches the Rfam family "Archaeal small subunit ribosomal RNA", at positions 82 to 876 of the family's 1478-position model. The record is from RNAcentral.
CAUACGCUCAGUACACGUGAUAAUCUACCCAAAGGUAACUGGGACUAACCCCGGGAAACUGGGGAUAAGACCGGAUAGGGCCAAUACGUCUGAGAAGUGUGUGUUGUGCUGAAAGGUAACGCCUUUGGAUGGGUCUGCGGCGGAUUAGGUAGACGCCCGGUGUAACGUACCGGCGUGCCUGUAAUCCGUACGGGUUGUGGGAGCAAGAGCCCGGAGAUGGAUUCUGAGACACGAAUCCAGGCCCUACGGGGCGCAGCAGGCGCGAAAACUCUACAAUGCAGGCAACUGCGAUAGGGGGACAUCGAGUGGCACCCACCUUGGGUGUCUGUCCAACCAGUCUAAAAAACGGUUGUUAGCAAGGGCCGGGUAAGACCGGUGCCAGCCGCCGCGGUAAUACCGGCGGCUCCGAGUGGUGGCCGAUAUCUAUUGAGUCUAAAGGGUCCGUAGCCGGCUUUGCAAGUCCUCUGGGAAAUCCAGCGGCUUAACCGUUGGGCUUCCAUGGGAAACUACAUUGCUUGGGGACUGGGAGAGGUAGGAGGUACUCGAGGGGUAGGGGUGAAAUCCUGUAAUCCUUCGGGAAGACCACCGGUGGCGAAGGCUGUCCUACCAGAACAGGUCCGACGGUGAGGGACGAAAGCUAGGGGCACGAACCGGAUUAGAUACCCGGGUAGUCCCAGCCGUAAACGAUGCCCGCUAGGUGUUUGGGCGGUCGUGAAUCGCCGUGGUGCCGUAGGGAAGCCGCGAAGCGGGCCACUUGGGAAGUACGGCCGCAAGGCUGAAACUUAAAGGAAUUGGCGGGGGAG